RNAcentral lists this ribosomal RNA (423 nucleotides) under uncultured bacterium. RNAcentral's name for it is "partial 16S ribosomal RNA". It matches the Rfam family "Bacterial small subunit ribosomal RNA", at positions 355 to 767 of the family's 1533-position model. The record is from RNAcentral.
UGGGGAAUAUUGCACAAUGGGCGCAAGCCUGAUGCAGCCAUGCCGCGUGUGUGAAGAAGGCCUUCGGGUUGUAAAGCACUUUCAGCGAGGAGGAAGGUGGUGAACUUAAUACGUUCAUCAAUUGACGUUACUCGCAGAAGAAGCACCGGCUAACUCCGUGCCAGCAGCCGCGGUAAUACGGAGGGUGCAAGCGUUAAUCGGAAUUACUGGGCGUAAAGCGCACGCAGGCGGUUUGUUAAGUCAGAUGUGAAAUCCCCGGGCUCAACCUGGGAACUGCAUUUGAAACUGGCAAGCUAGAGUCUCGUAGAGGGGGGCUAGAAUUCCAGGUGUAGCGGUGAAAUGCGUAGAGAUCUGGAGGAAUACCGGUGGCGAAGGCGGCCCCCUGGACGAAGACUGACGCUCAGGUGCGAAAAGGCGUGGGGG